AAAGUACUCCCUCCGUCCCAAAAUUCUUGUCUUAGAUUUGUCUAGAUAUAGAUGUAUCAAGUCACAUUUUAGUAUUAGAUAUAUCCGUAUCUAUACAAAUCUAAGACAAGAAAUUUGGGACAGAGGGAGUAGUUG
Molecule: non-coding RNA, 135 nt
Organism: Triticum aestivum (bread wheat)
Lineage: Eukaryota; Viridiplantae; Streptophyta; Magnoliopsida; Poales; Poaceae
Source: Rfam